GCUUGGUUCUGGAUGCCAUCGUCCUGGAAAGCGAGGGUCUCAUCGUCCUGUACCAUUAUGUCGAGGACACCAUCAUUCUCUAUGCGAGGUGAUGUUAGGAGGAGACCCAGAGCAGAGACCAGGAGCAGUGCAGGUCAGAGUGGCCUGCUGUCCCUCAGUCAGUGGAGGAAUCUUCAGUGAGGGCCUCUGGUUUAGAGCUGAUGAAGACAUGGUGAUGUUAGGAGGAGACCCAGAGCAGAGACCAGGAGCAGUGCAGGUCAGAGUGGCCUGCUGUCCCUCAGUCAGUGGAGG
Non-coding RNA from Poecilia reticulata (guppy), 291 nucleotides. NCBI's taxonomy places the organism in Eukaryota, Metazoa, Chordata, Actinopteri, Cyprinodontiformes, Poeciliidae. The record is from RefSeq and is a predicted model, not a curated record.